CUUGAGUUAGGGUUGANAAUAAUUAUAUGUGUUGAAAAGGUUCAAGUUUGGGGUUGAAUGGGGAAAGUGAAAGGCAAAAGAAAAAGGAAAGCAUUGAGUUCAAAAUAUGAGAAAGAAAAAUGCAUGUGAAAGGAAAAGAAAAGAAGAAAAGAGAAAAAGCAUGUAAAGAAGAACUCAAUAUAAAAUGAAAAGGGGAAAAAGUUGGGAAUGAGUAAGAUUAGUUAAAAAAAGAGAGUGUACUUGAACUUUGAAUGAUGAUUUAAACUCUCUUAACUCAAGGAUUUUGUAUUCCAGAAAAACCAAUUUUCUUGAUAGCCCAACCACAAUACAAGCCUUGGAUAAAGUCCUUGUGAUGACAUUUGCAUGUGAAGAUGUUAAUUGUCUUAGAUGAAUGACAAUAUUGUUUUAUGUGACAUGUGAACAGUAGAGAGUACAGUGAC
RNAcentral lists this long non-coding RNA (440 nucleotides) under Vigna radiata. RNAcentral describes it as "long non-coding RNA (VRAD_LNC011696)". Lineage: Eukaryota; Viridiplantae; Streptophyta; Magnoliopsida; Fabales; Fabaceae. The record is from RNAcentral.